Molecule: transfer RNA, 73 nt
Filed under: Lachnospiraceae bacterium
Lineage: Bacteria; Bacillati; Bacillota; Clostridia; Lachnospirales; Lachnospiraceae
Also listed under: 1 other name
Description: tRNA-Thr
Rfam family: tRNA
About the family: Transfer RNA (tRNA) molecules are approximately 80 nucleotides in length.
Source: RNAcentral
GCUGACAUGGCACAGGUGGUAGCGCACUUCAUUGGUAAUGAAGAGGUCGGCGGUUCAAGUCCGCUUGUCAGCU